RNAcentral lists this long non-coding RNA (1257 nucleotides) under Felis catus (domestic cat). Its description in RNAcentral is "lncRNA (ENSFCAG00000053829.1)". Lineage: Eukaryota; Metazoa; Chordata; Mammalia; Carnivora; Felidae. The record is from RNAcentral.
GUACAAACUUAUACAUGUGUGAAUCCCAUUUUCUCUCUCUUUUCUACUCUUAUGAUAGUAAAAUCUCUCUUUUCUAUCAGAGUACUUCCUCCACUUUCGCUCAGAUCCCAUUCCUUAUCUCAUUCUCAAAGUCUCAUGUCCUUGUUAAUUCUGUCUCCCCAUCCUAUCAGCAAACUCUUUCCAGAUUAUCUAUAUCAGCAUUAAAUGGUGAUCUACUACCCCACUUAAAAACAGCAUUUGGGGCGCCUGGGUGGCGCAGUCGGUUAAGCGUCCGACUUCAGCCAGGUCACGAUCUCGCGGUCCGUGAGUUCGAGCCCCGCGUCGGGCUCUGGGCUGAUGGCUUGGAGACUGGAGCCUGUUUCCAAUUCUGUGUCUCCCCCUCUCUCUGCCCCUCCCCCGUUCAUGCUCUGUCUCUCUCUGUCCCAAAAAUAAAUAAACGUUUAAAAAAAAUUAAAAAAAAACAGCAUCUAAGAAUAAAGAAAAACAAAACAAAAUGCUUCCCCAGAUCAAACUUCACCCCCAUCCCCCUCUCCCUGUCAACAAAGCUGCGUUUCCUAUUCAAUCCAUUGCUGACUGGAUCCUGCCUCUACUCCAGUCAACAACAAAAGAUUUGUCCAGAACAUUUGUCUAUCUUCAUCUCACUCAGCUUUCUAGAAACUAUAACAAAGUGGCACAUUAAUCUCUUCCUCCUUGCAAAACUGUGUAUAGGGGUGGGAUUUGGAGGGGAGCAGGAGCAUCCUUUAUACCACUGUGCCUUGUUUUCCUCAACCUGGAUUUGCCUUGCUAUCUGUUGUUCACUCCCUUCCUGUACAAAGCCUCCACAUAUCUGGGUUCCCCAGGUUACCAGCUUGGGUCCAAUUCUUUGGUCUCUGAAUAUUUAACCUGUGAUGAUAAUCAUAAGUACCAGUGGAUUUAAACACCACCUCUCUGCUGAUGUUUCCUAAUUAAUUUCUCUACCCCAGACUCCUAGUCUUGAUUCUUUAUUUGCAUGUCCACAUGAUCUCUCCAAAACAAUCUGUUUGUGAUCCUUUCAGUCUUAUGCCCCAAUUAUGCCCCAUGCUUCCUCUUUUACUCAUCUCACAUUUAUAACUUUAGCCCACACCAGUAACAUGCAAACUUAUUUCCCCACCUCUAUUUAUCUUACAUCCCAAUCCAUUUUUUAUCCAGCUGCAAAAGCCACUUUAAAAUCCAAAUCACAUCACAUUUCACUGCAGAGUAAGUGUUUCAAUGACUUCCCACUGAAGUUAGGAUCAAAUC